Molecule: ribosomal RNA, 467 nt
Filed under: uncultured bacterium
Lineage: Bacteria
Description: partial 16S ribosomal RNA
Rfam family: Bacterial small subunit ribosomal RNA
Source: RNAcentral
GACGAACGCUGGCGGCGUGCUUAACACAUGCAAGUCGAACGGAAAGGCCUUGCUUUUGUGGGGUGCUCGAGUGGCGAACGGGUGAGUAACACGUGAGUAACCUGCCCUUGACCUUGGGAUAACUUCAGGAAACUGGGGCUAAUACCGGAUAGGAGCUCCUGCUGCAUGGUGGGGGUUGGAAAGUUUCGGCGGUUGGGGAUGGACUCGCGGCUUAUCAGCUUGUUGGUGGGGUAGUGGCUUACCAAGGCUUUGACGGGUAGCCGGCCUGAGAGGGUGACCGGCAACAUGGGGACGGAGAUACGGCCCAGACUCCUACGGGAGGAAGCAGUGGGGAAUAUUGCACAAUGGGCGGAAGCCUGAUGCAGCAACGCCGCGUGCGGGAUGACGGCCUUCGGGUUGUAAACCGCUUUCGCCUGUGACGAAGCGUGAGUGACGGUAAUGGGUAAAGAAGCACCGGCUAACUACGU